GACGAACGCUGGCGGCGUGCUUAACACAUGCAAGUCGAACGGAAAGGCCCUGCUUUUGUGGGGUGCUCGAGUGGCGAACGGGUGAGUAACACGUGAGUAACCUGCCCUUGACUUUGGGAUAACUUCAGGAAACUGGGGCUAAUACCGGAUAGGAGCUCCUGCUGCAUGGUGGGGGUUGGAAAGUUUCGGCGGUUGGGGAUGGACUCGCGGCUUAUCAGCUUGUUGGUGGGGUAGUGGCUUACCAAGGCUUUGACGGGUAGCCGGCCUGAGAGGGUGACCGGCCACAUUGGGACUGAGAGACGGCCCAGACUGCUACGGGAGGCAGCAGGGGGGAAUAUUGCAAAAUGGGCGGAAGCCUGAUGCAGCAACGCCGCGUGCGGGAUGGCGGCCUUCGGGUUGUAAACCGCUUUCGCCUGUGACGAAGCGUGAGUGACGGUAAUGGGUAAAGAAGCACCGGCUAACUACGUG
This 468-nucleotide ribosomal RNA is filed under the name uncultured bacterium. Its description in RNAcentral is "partial 16S ribosomal RNA". It matches the Rfam family "Bacterial small subunit ribosomal RNA", at positions 28 to 507 of the family's 1533-position model. The record is from RNAcentral.